AGAGUUUGAUCCUGGCUCAGGAUGAACGCUGGCGGCGUGCCUAAUACAUGCAAGUCGAACGAGUUCUGAUUAUUGAAAGAUGCUUGCAUCUUGAUUUAAUUUUGAACGAGUGGCGGACGGGUGAGUAACACGUGGGUAACCUGCCCUUAAGUGGGGGAUAACAUUUGGAAACAGAUGCUAAUACCGCAUAAAUCCAAGAACCGCAUGGUUCUUGGCUGAAAGAUGGCGUAAGCAUCGCUUUUGGAUGGACCCGCGGCGUAUUAGCUAGUUGGUGAGGUAACGGCUCACCAAGGCAAUGAUACGUAGCCGAACUGAGAGGUUGAUCGGCCACAUUGGGACUGAGACACGGCCCAAACUCCUACGGGAGGCAGCAGUAGGGAAUCUUCCACAAUGGACGCAAGUCUGAUGGAGCAACGCCGCGUGAGUGAAGAAGGCUUUCGGGUCGUAAAACUCUGUUGUUGGAGAAGAAUGGUCGGCAGAGUAACUGUUGUCGGCGUGACGGUAUCCAACCAGAAAGCCACGGCUAACUACGUGCCAGCAGCCGCGGUAAUACGUAGGUGGCAAGCGUUAUCCGGAUUUAUUGGGCGUAAAGCGAGCGCAGGCGGUUUUUUAAGUCUGAUGUGAAAGCCCUCGGCUUAACCGAGGAAGUGCAUCGGAAACUGGGAAACUUGAGUGCAGAAGAGGACAGUGGAACUCCAUGUGUAGCGGUG
RNAcentral lists this ribosomal RNA (710 nucleotides) under uncultured Lactobacillus sp. Its description in RNAcentral is "bacterial SSU rRNA". It matches the Rfam family "Bacterial small subunit ribosomal RNA", at positions 8 to 683 of the family's 1533-position model. The record is from RNAcentral. Lineage: Bacteria; Bacillati; Bacillota; Bacilli; Lactobacillales; Lactobacillaceae.